Solanum stenotomum is the source of this 1886-nucleotide RNA transcript. It is a transcript of the gene named 5-OH-xanthotoxin synthase-like, with no coding region annotated. The transcript has 2 exons. Lineage: Eukaryota; Viridiplantae; Streptophyta; Magnoliopsida; Solanales; Solanaceae. The record is from RefSeq and is a predicted model, not a curated record.
UCUCGUGUAUCAUUUGAUUCACAUAACAUGCAAAGAUUAUAAUUUAUAAGGAUAUCCAUUGUAAUCCAUUCAUCCCAUGUAACUUUCACACAAGUUAGUCAAGAAGGAAAUUGGAUAUGUUGCUUCUCUUCCUAGUAGCUAUACCUUUCAUUGUAAUUUUCCUUGUAAAACUUGGAUACACAAAUAAUCAUCCACCAGGUCCCCCUAGGCUUCCACUUGUUGGAAACUUGUAUCAACUAAAUCAAGAAUCCCCUCAUAAAUACCUACGGCAACUUUCAAAGAAAUAUGGUCCCUUAAUGUUCAUGAAACUUGGUUUUUCCCAACUAGUUGUUAUUUCAUCUUCAAGAAUUGCUAAAGAAGUUCUAAAAACUCAUGACUUCGCAUUUUCUAGUAGACCAUCUUAUCUUGGCCAAAGAAAGUUAUCAUACAAUGGUUUGGAUGUCGCCUUUUCGCCUUACAACAAUUAUUGGAGAGAGAUGAAAAAGAUUUGUACCUUACAUCUCUUUAGUCCCAAAAAGGUACAAUCUUUCCGUCCAAUUCGUGAAGAUGAAGUAUCCAGGAUGAUCAAUCGCGUAACAGAACUUGCAUCAUCGUCAAAAUUGGUUAAUCUAAGUGAGAUUAUGUCAUCUCUAUCGAGCAACAUAUCGUGUAUUGUUGGAUUUGGUAAGAGAUAUGAUGAGAAAGGCUAUGAAAGUAAGAGGUUUAGCAAACUUUUAUGUGAAGCUCAAGCUAUGAUCGGAGGUUCCUUUCUCUCUGAUCACUUCCCAAUUUUCGGACGUUGGAUUGAUUGUAUAGUCACAAGAAAGGCUACUCGACUCGAAAAGAUUUACAAUGAGUUAGACUUGUUUUAUCAAGAACUCAUUGAUGAACACCUUAGCUCAACUAGACCAAAAUCAAUGGAUGGUGAUAUUGUUGAUAUGUUAAUUGUCUUAAAAGAUCAAAAUUUAUCAUCGUCGUCUUUGAAUCUCACUUGGGAUCGUAUCAAAGCUGUGCUAAUGGACAUAUUUAUUGCUGGAACGGACACGAAUGCUGCUGCAUUAGUGUGGGCAAUGACAGCUUGAUGAAGGAGGGGGGAAGCGCGAUGAGGAAAUUACAAGAAGGUAUAAGAGCAUUGGUCGGGAAAAAAGGAAGAGUAGACGAAGAUGAUAUCCAAAAUCUCCCCUAUCUCAGGGCAGUUAUAAAGGAGACAUUGAGAUUGUACCCACCCACUCCACUAAUACCAAGAGAAACAAUCGAAAAAUGCAGCAUAGAUGGAUAUGAAAUCAAACAGAAUACUCCAGUUUCUAUCAACGCGUGGGCAAUAGGUAGAGAUCCUGAAUGUUGGGAAAAUCCAUACGAGUUUAUUCCUGAGAGAUUUUGUAAUGUAAACAACAAUGAUAGCAUCGACUACAAGUCAGGGGAAUUUGAAAUGAUUCCGUUUGGAGGUGGUAGGAGAGGGUGUCCCGGGAUUUCACUAGGAGUAGCAACAGUGGAGCUCGCGCUCGCCAAUCUUCUCUAUGCAUUUGAUUGGGAAUUGCCUUAUGGGAUGGUAAAAGAAGAUAUUGAUAUCGAUACUUUGCCAGGUAUGACCAUGCACAAGAAGAAUCCUCUAUGUCUGGUGGCAAAAACCUAUUACAAUAAUAGUUAAUAUAGUCAUGCUUCUCUAUAACAGGGUGAUUUGUUUGAAUAUUUUUCGAUUUCUAUAGGAAGAUGUUGUGAUAGGAGAACAUAUAAUAAAAUAUUGUCAGUCUCACAGACGAUGGUUGUUAUAGAAAAUGUGACUGUAGCUAUCCUCUUUAUGUCAGUACAUUAGAAUAAUUAGUGCACUUUCUAUUUAGUACUUUGUAAAGAAUAAAUAUUGUUCUAUUGUGUAACCUCUUGUUUAUAUAGUAGUAGUUUUGUUGGUA